UUCGGACACACUGUUGGGUCCUGAGGGAUCAGGCUCCGCAUCGUCUCCUGCUGAAUUGGGGGGUGGUGGGGGUUGGUUUCUCUGGUUGUCUCCUCCUUUGUCUGCUCCGCGACCGGUUGGUUGGGGGUGGGGGUUGGUGGGGUUGUUGUUUGAGAUCUGCAUAGUGGACGCGAGCAUUUAAUUCAUGCCCCCGACUUUUUUUUGUUGGGGGGUGUGGUUUGUGCAUUGAUUGUUUUUGUUGUUUCUUGUGGGUGUUGUCCUUGUGGGCGUUGCAUGUUUUGUGUUGUUGUG
This 291-nucleotide unclassified non-coding RNA is filed under the name Nocardioides sp. RNAcentral describes it as "partial 16S-23S ribosomal RNA intergenic spacer". Lineage: Bacteria; Bacillati; Actinomycetota; Actinomycetes; Propionibacteriales; Nocardioidaceae. The record is from RNAcentral.